RNAcentral lists this ribosomal RNA (327 nucleotides) under uncultured eukaryote. RNAcentral describes it as "partial 18S ribosomal RNA". It matches the Rfam family "Eukaryotic small subunit ribosomal RNA", at positions 1470 to 1796 of the family's 1831-position model. The record is from RNAcentral.
CCCUUAGAUGUUCUGGGCCGCACGCGUGCUACACUGAGUGGAUCAGCGGGUUAGGUAACACGAAAGUGUAUCCUAAUCUUCAAAUCCGCUCGUGAUGGGGAUUGAUGGUUGCAAUUUUUUAUCAUGAACGAGGAAUACCUUGUAGGCGCGUGUCAUCAUCACGCGCCGAAUACGUCCCUGCCCUUUGUACACACCGCCCGUCGCUCCUACCGAUUGAAUGGUUUAGUGAGAUCUUCGGAUUGGCGCCACUGCGGCUCAGCAAUGGGCUCGGUGGAUGCCGAAAAGUUGAUCAAACUUGAUCAUUUAGAGGAAGUAAAAGUCGUAACA